CCUACGGGAGGCAGCAGUGAGGAAUAUUGGUCAAUGGUCGGGAGACUGAACCAGCCAAGCCGCGUGAGGGAGGAAGGUACAGAGUAUCGUAAACCUCUUUUGUCAGGGAACAAAGGCGGGGACGUGUCCCCGGCUGAGUGUACCUGAAGAAAAAGCAUCGGCUAACUCCGUGCCAGCAGCCGCGGUAAUACGGAGGAUGCGAGCGUUAUCCGGAUUUAUUGGGUUUAAAGGGUGCGCGGGCGGUCUGUUAAGUCAGCGGUCAAAGCCCGGGGCUCAACCCCGGCCCGCCGUUGAAACUGGCAGUCUCGAGUUGGAGAGAAGUAUGCGGAAUGCGCGGUGUAGCGGUGAAAUGCAUAGAUAUCGCGCAGAACUCCGAUUGCGAAGGCAGCAUGCCGGCUCCACACUGACGCUGAGGCACGAAAGCGUGGGUAUCGAACAGGAUUAGAUACCCUUGUAGUC
RNAcentral lists this ribosomal RNA (459 nucleotides) under uncultured bacterium. Its description in RNAcentral is "partial 16S ribosomal RNA". It matches the Rfam family "Bacterial small subunit ribosomal RNA", at positions 338 to 795 of the family's 1533-position model. The record is from RNAcentral.